This is a long non-coding RNA of Pogoniulus pusillus (Red-fronted tinkerbird), 1551 nucleotides long. RefSeq lists it as uncharacterized. Lineage: Eukaryota; Metazoa; Chordata; Aves; Piciformes; Lybiidae. The transcript has 2 exons. The record is from RefSeq and is a predicted model, not a curated record.
GGGAACCCCCCUGUAAUCAGGGUGGGUAUGUCUGGCCCCAGGCUUUCAGAGGCAUGGCGUCAGGUUUGUUUAUCUCAGCGUGUACUCCUCGGCCCCAGGCUUAGUGUUGGUGGAGUCUCCCGCCAUGACCCAGGUCUUUGGCUGCGAAAGCCCGCUGCCUGGCUCCUGAGUCUGCUUCCUGUAGCUGCGGGACCAGUUUGAGGUCUCCAUGACCCCUUCUCAGACGCAGGUCUUGUGUAGCCCCAAACUGUUCCACGAACCCAGAAUAUUUGACAGAAGCUUUUCAUGAAAAUGGUUUGUAAAGAUGGGAAGAGACCUCUCAUUGAGGUAGUUGACUUCCAGUCCUUGGACUUGGCAUUGAAGUUGAGACGUGGUCUUGAACUCUCUUCUUCUUGGAGUUUGGGAAUGGUCAGACCCAUGAUCUUGAUGAUUUUUUGUUUCAAAUUGAGGUGAUUCGAAAUGGCUAUGACAUAAAGCUAAAGCUCUGCUGUACCCUGAGGAUACAUAGUACCCGUGCUGCCCUUAGCAUUAGUUGUAUCCUUUUUAUUGAGUACAUCCAUUGGUGAAAUGACCACAGGAGAUGUGGAGUUCUCAUCUCACUGAAGAUCUUAGAAAAGUUGUGUUUUGCUGCCCACCAUGCGUGUCUCUGCUAUGAAUGUGCAAGCGGGAGGAGUGGCUGAUACUUCUUGAAGCUGUGCUACUCUUCAGGCCCAUUUUAGCAGGUUGGGGAGCUGCAGACAGGACACCUGAGGAAGGUCAGCAAAGGACCUGAGGUGCAGGAGGAUGUCAUACAGUCUCAGCACGACGUCCCGCUGGCCAUGCAGGCCGAUCACGUGCAGACAGUCAAGGGUCUGCUCCUGGUAACUUGCGGCAGUGGAGUUUACCAGGCAGCAGUAAGGCAGCGGUCGUGCAAUAGGGUGGACGGGAGACUGGGCUCCGUAGAGAAAGGCAGGCAAUACAAGCAAAUAGCAACAAGCAGUGAAGCAAAAGCAAGCAAGCAGGCAGGCACUUUGUUUACCUGUGUACCUCCUAUUUAUCACAUGUGGGCUGAGAAUAAUGGCCCCUUGGCUGUCAGAAUGACCAAUGAGCUUGGCAGUUAACCAAAGCAUACCAUAAUAGGCAAGGGCCACAGGCCUGGCCUCCUCCAAAUAUGGGGAUAGCAUGGGCCUUGCACCUAGUAAGCUGCAAGCUAGGUGCAUGGGCUUACCCAAGCGCGUUACACAACUUGGGCCCUGGGCAGGCCAGACUUUAUGGCGCCAGGUCUAUUGUGGCCUUUUUGCAUUUGUUUGUAUCCGUUUAAUGCGUUUACCCCUGGUGCGGGCAGAAAAACACGUCCAGGCAAGACAGAACAUGUAUAAGCCUAUUUUGGGCAACUGGAAACACAGACUUUACAAGGAUGGAUAAAUAUUUUUUUAGAUUUGACAGAUGACUGUAUGUAAAACAGUGAAUGAUCUAGAGGAGUGAUUUGUCAUGGUUUGAGGCCAAUUGCGAUAUUUUAAUGAAGGAAUGAGAUGAUUGGUUGUAAAAGGAAAAUAAUGAUGAAGUCUGUCA